Molecule: ribosomal RNA, 240 nt
Filed under: uncultured soil bacterium
Lineage: Bacteria
Description: partial 16S ribosomal RNA
Rfam family: Bacterial small subunit ribosomal RNA
Source: RNAcentral
AGAUUGAACGCUGGCGGCAGGCCUAACACAUGCAAGUCGAGCGGCAGCACGGGUACUUGUACCUGGUGGCGAGCGGCGGACGGGUGAGUAAUGCCUAGGAAUCUGCCUGAUAGUGGGGGAUAACGUUCGGAAACGGACGCUAAUACCGCAUACGUCCUACGGGGGAAAGUGGGGGAUCUUCGGACCUCACGCUAUCAGAUGAGCCUAGGUCGGAUUAGCUAGUGGUAGGUAAAGCCUACC